UGUCGCAUAUUCAUAAAUAAGUAUAUGCAAUCAGUAAAUGGGCAUGUACAGCAUGAGUCGUCCAACACAGCAACGCACAAUGCCACAACAGAAGCCGCCGAAGCAGUACCUUACCGAGCAGGAGGCCAUCGCGGCCUCCGAGCUCUUCGAUCUCUUCUGCGUCGCAACGACAAUGCGCCAGAUUUUGGGUUUGCAUCGCGACAUGUGCGACAUACUGGGCUUACGACCAGCCCCGAUCAACGAAUUCUACCCGAUGUUGAAGGCGAAGAUUCGUUCGUGGAAAGCGCAGGCGCUAUGGAAGAAGUUCGAUGCACGUGCGGCGCAUCGCGUCUACGCAAAAGGAACAGCGUGCAAUGGCACGCAUGUGCUAGUCAUUGGCGCAGGUCCAUGUGGCUUGCGCACCGCCAUUGAGGCGCAGUUGUUGGGUGCCAAAGUCGUUGUGCUGGAGAAACGCGAUCGCAUUACGCGCAACAAUGUGCUGCACUUGUGGCCGUUCGUCAUUACCGAUCUGCGGAAUUUGGGUGCAAAGAAAUUUUAUGGAAAAUUUUGUGCCGGUUCCAUAGAUCACAUAUCCAUUCGGCAGUUGCAAAUCAUAUUAAUGAAGGUUGCGCUGCUGCUAGGUGUCGAGAUACAUGAGAAUGUGUCCUUUGAGCGAACAAUUGAGCCGAGUGGCGAUGGCUUCGGCUGGCGUGCGGCUGUAACACCAGCGGAUCAUGUGGUUUCAUAUUAUGAAUUCGAUGUUUUAAUCGGAGCCGAUGGUAAACGUAACACACUGGAAGGAUUCAAACGAAAGGAGUUUCGUGGAAAGCUGGCCAUAGCAAUUACGGCCAAUUUCAUAAAUAAGAAAACAGAGGCAGAGGCUAAAGCGGAGGAGAUAAGCGGCGUAGCGUUCAUAUUCAAUCAGUCCUUCUUCAAGGAGCUAUAUGAGAAAACGGGCAUCGAUUUAGAGAAUAUCGUCUAUUAUAAGGACGAGACGCACUACUUUGUUAUGACCGCGAAGAAACACAGUCUCAUAGACAAAGGUGUUAUAAUACAGGAUUUCUCCGAUCCGGCCGAACUGCUCGCUUCAGCUAACGUGAGCGCCGAAAAGUUGCUCGAUUAUGCGCGUGAAGCGGCCGAAUUCUCCACAAAGUACCAAAUGCCAAAUCUUGAGUUCGCCGUGAAUCAUUAUGGCAAACCCGACGUCGCCAUGUUCGAUUUCACAUCCAUGUUCGCCGCGGAGACAUCGUGCCGUGUGAUGUUGCGGCACGGCCAUCGUUUGUUGCAAUGCUUGGUAGGUGACAGCCUGCUGGAGCCCUUCUGGCCCACUGGUUCGGGCUGCGCGCGCGGUUUCCUUUCUAGCAUGGAUGCCGCAUAUGCGACUAAACUUUGGUCUAACCCGCGCAAUAGUAUUAUGGGCGUUGUGGCGCAGCGUGAAAGUAUAUACAGACUACUUAAUCAGACCACACCUGAGAAUUUACAGCGGGACACAGGCUCUUAUACAGUUGAUCCAGCCUCAAGGUAUCCCAAUCUGAAUCGCACGGCUGUCAGCCCCUACCAGGUGAAAACGCUCAUCGACUCAGAUGAUCCAAAGGUAUUCGAGCAGCCAAUAGCCGAAAUCAUAACAACGCCAGCGUUAGCUGAGGGCCCAGCGUUGUUGCGCAAAACCCGUCGUAGUACAGAUAUUGUGCCUGAAGCUUUGCUACAUUGGGUUUGCACUCAGCUGCAUAUGUACGAUUUCGUAAAGGAAUUACAGGAACCUGCCGACAUACUUAAAAAUGGAAAAUCACUAUGCGCCUUAAUCAGCCGUUUUCGGCCGGACUUAAUCGAUUACUCAGCAACACGUGACUUAACGCUGGCUGAACGCAAUGAAGUUGCUUUCAGAAUAUUAGAAGCGGAAUAUCAACUGCCACGCAUCAUGAGCGGUGAGAAAUCUGUAGAUCUAGAGAAAGUGGAUACACGUCACUGGCUGCACUAUUUGAAUCAAGUGCGUGAAGUGUUCCGCGGUGAAGUGCCGUAUCUGAAACAUCCAAAGAUGGAUAUCUCAGAGCUGCGCGAAAAAUACCGUCUCAACAAUGCGCAUGCGCAGCCAGACUUCUCGAAAUUGUUGCAACUUUCGACCAAGCCGAAAUAUCCGAAAGCAAAAAGUCCCAUCGAGGAUAUGGUGGACGUGCCGCAAGUGGUGCAACGCCGCUCGGUGCUGGAUGAAGAGCGUGUAAAACGCGUGCGCAGGCAUGAGCCGGCUGCAGGCGGCCCAGCUGCAGCUAGUUCGCCACAACAAGGUCAAACCGAUACACCACGUCGUGCCAAGAAGAGAAGAAAUGUCGAGAAGGCUGCUAAUAUUGAAGAACGACAAAAGCGCCUACAAGAAAUCGAACAAAAUCGCCAGGAGCGUAUAAGCAAACGUCGACAGCAACGUUAUCAACAGACACAGAACUUUUACAAGAGCUUGCAAAUGUUGCAAGUGAACACAUUGCUGCGUGAAACUGACGAUCCGACCGCAUUUGAGGACUACUCAUUGUUCAUAUAUCGCCAACAUGCGCCGGAGUUCAAUGAUCGCGUGAAGGAUUUGGAGCGCAAAUUGCUGUAUCCUGAUCGCAAUCGCGGCGAUAUACCAUCAGCCAUGCCACGAAAUAAUCCGGAUGAACAGUUUAGUGAUCGCAUCAAAUCUAUGGAGCAACGCAUAAGCUCGAAGAAUGCUUGUGGCAAUGAUAAGAAGCCCAAAGACUUAAUGCGUGCCAUUGGCAAGAUCGACAGCAAUGAUUGGAAUGUGCGCGAAAUCGAAAAGAAAAUCGAACAAUCAAAACGAACUGAAAUACACGGUCCGAAAGGACGUGAAAAGGUGCCGAAAUGGAGUAAAGAACAAUUUUUGGCUAGACAAAAUAAAAUGGCAAAACCAACGCGCCAAGAAUCUGUAGAGGAGAAGUUCAAAGAGAUCGAUCAAACCUUAAAAAAUUUGGAUAAACAGCUAAAGGAGGGUUCCAUACUGGAAGUUGGUGAACGCGGCCGCAACAAGGUCGCAUCAAUUGCUGGGCAAUUUGUUAAGAAAGAUGAUAAAACGAGCGACGAAAAGAAUCCUACUCCCGCCGCUGUCAAUAGCGCGCCGAAAUCCAGCGCUAAGGUCGCGUUGGCAUUUAAGAAGCAAGCCGCGUCCGAAAAGUGCCACUUCUGCAAACAAAUCGUUUACUUAAUGGAAAAAAUCACCGCCGAAGAUCUCGUAUUUCAUCGUUCGUGUCUGAAGUGUCAUCAUUGUCAUACAAAUUUGCGUCUCGGCGGCUAUGCAUUCGAUCGCGACGAUCCAAAUGGACGCUUCUACUGCACGCAACACUUUAAGCUGCCAGCAAAGGCAAUACGUCCUGUAGUCAGAAAACCAGGUCAAAGGAAGCCAACUCAGCAGCAACAAGCUGCCGCCGCUGCAGCUGCUGCCGUCGACAUUACCGUUACAACGGCGGACGCUGCAAGUGGAAUCACACAAACAGACCUACCCAAAACGCCUGAUAAACUUCGUGGCCCCGCUGACAGCGUUGUACAGCUCGAUUUAUUGGACCGUGGUCAAACACCGGAACGUAUCGAAUUCGAAAAUACCGAUGCUAUGUCCGAUGGUGAACCUUCGGAGGAGCAUAUACUCGAUGAGCACGAGUGGUCGGGCAGAAAUUUCUUGCCUGAAUCUAAUCAAGAUUCUGAAUCGGAUCUCUCCAGUUCCGAUGACUCGGAUACCGAGUCUGAUGCUGAUAUGUUCGAAGAGGCAAAUGACUCACCAUUGGCCGCACAAACAUUACAGUUGGCCACCGAUUGGAUUGGCAAACAACAUUACUCCGAUAGUGAUGAUUCAGAUGAUUUUUAUGAUUCGAGUGACGGAAUUGCGGAUGACGAUGGUAAAGACGAUACCGAAGGUGAAGAUUUCAAAAAGGCUCGUGAACUACGUCGAGAAGAAGUGCGCCUACAGCCACUGCCCGCGAACUUGCCCACUGACACGGAAACUGAGGUUCAAAGCGAAUCAGAGUCGACAUCUCCCGAGGAGGUUGAGCUCAAUUCAGCCACGGAAAUUUCCACUGAUUCGGAGUUCGAUCACGAUGAAAUAAUUCGUGAGACACCUAAAAUAUUCAUCGAUGAUACUCACCUCAGAAAACCAACAAAAGUUCAAGUAAAAUCUACCGUUAUUGCUUCGACUGCCAGUCAACGACAUCACAUACCAUCCGCCAACACUGCUAAUGCACAUAACUUGAGGGGCAGUUAUCUGCAGAAGUAUCAAGUUAACCCACCACAACCACAAUUCAAACCACUUGUACAGGUGGAUCCGACGCUCUUAACGAAAAGUCGUACUCCCUUACAAAAUCCACGUCCCGGCGAUUAUCUGCUCAAUAAAACGGCCAGUACGGAGGGUAUCGCCUCAAAGAAAAGUCUAGAGCUCAAGAAACGUUAUUUGCUUGGUGAACAGGGCAAUGGCAAUAAGAUACAAAAAUCUGGCUCUACUUCGGUACUUGACUCACGCAUACGCAGUUUCCAGUCGAAUAUAUCCGAAUGCCAAAAGUUACUGAAUCCAGGUAGCGGCAUUUCAGCCAGCAUGAAAACCUUUUUGGAUCGUACGAAAUUAGGCGAAAGUACAAACAAUGAUUUAAUGCGUUCGGCAACAACAAACAUUUUGAACGACCUCAAAGUUGAAAUUACGAUACAGAAGGCCUCUUCCACUGCUUCGACAGAUAAUGAGAAGGAAAACGUGUUUGUGAAUAGUAAAAAUGAGCUAAAUAAAGGUAUGGAAUAUUCGGAGACUGUUAAUACGACUCUAGUCGAGACUGUCAACAACAAAAAAUCACCUUCAACACCAACUAAUAGUCACACAAUUUUGGCCACAAUAGAUUUAGUUACACCGGAAAAGGAAAAACCAAAAUCUAUAAUAGAUAUUACGAAGGUAGAUAUACCAACGAAAAUGUUGGAAUCGAAUAUCGAUUUCAUAGAGAACAUUAAUGUUGACGAUGCUGAGAUGAAACCUAAUUCCCCUGAAAAUAAUGAUGCAUUGCUCACUGCCGAUAGUAAUAAAAUUAUAGAUCUUACAUGCGAAUCACCAGUAAAAAGUGACAAUACCAUAAUAGAAGAACUGAAGCCCGAUGUAUCGAAAGAUGUUAAAGAAAGAAUACCCGAUUUACUGGGUCAUAUUGGACAGGAAGUAAAAUCAGCAGGUAAGACAACACCUUUACGUCAAACAGAGGAUCAACAGCAUCUUUUGAGUCACUCUUGCGACGAGGAGAAAAUGGAUUCACCAGAAAAACUGGAAGAACUUUUCGAGAACGAUACGUUACAAAUACAAGUGCCGAACAUACCGUGGAGCACACGCAAAAUGGACACAAUGUCAUCAACCGAAGGCUCCAGCUGCACAUCUGGCUCAUCGAGCAUCGAAGAUAUACAACACUAUAUAUUGGAGUCAACCACUAGUCCAGAUACACAAACCGGUGGUAUGGCCAUUGGACAUCAAGUACCACGUGUAGAAAUCCAUGACACAUCCGGAACACUCAUGCAAAUUGAUAGUUUGAUGAUAAUUGAUGGUAAAUAUAUUGGUGAUCCUGAAGAUCUGAAAUACAUGGAAAUACCUGCGGGCGUAGUAGUACCAGAGACGCCUGCCAUCAAGACAUCGGAAAUCGAGGAUGAAAACGAAGCUGAUAUGGAACCAGUUACUGCAACACCCGAACCGGUAGAAUGUACGGUAAUUGAGGCUGAACCAAAUAAAUUAGAUGAGGGUGAAGAGACAGAGAAUGCGUAUACUGAAGCACAAUUACCACCAUUGCCUGAGAGAGGUCCGCCAUUGCCAGAACGGGGACCACCAAAUAUAAAAACGUAUAAUCUUAAAUUCGAUACUAAAAACGAAAAUAAGGUAGAAAGUCUUAAGCAUCUUCCGUUAAUCGUUGAACAAACUAUGGAGCAUACAAAAGCGGUUAAACCACUUACGCUGAAUUUGAGUGCUGUUCAAAAAUCACCAAACACGCCCACAACACCUACAGCUUCUUCAAUCGCUUGCCCUGCCAUAGACCACACACCAAAUUCACCGCUUGUGGACAGUGAUAUAACACCGACGGGCGAACUAAUGUCUCGCGGAUCCGACUCAGAAACCGAACUGACCGGAACCGGUCAGGCGUUAACUGAAACCGAGUUGUCGGACUGGACAGCGGACGAUUGUAUUUCGGAGAAUUUCAUUGAUAUGGAGUUCGUGCUUAACUCUAAUAAGGGAACGAUUAAACGUAAUAAAAAAGAGAAGAGGCGUAUGUCUGCAGCUUCGAAAUUGCCGACCACAAUUGAAAUGCUGGGUGAGAUAAAUAAAACAGCGCCGGUUGCGGAAUUCGAGGGCAUACUGAAAUCUAUCGAUAUUGAUGAUAUUGAAUUCAUGGAUACCGGCUCUGAGGGUUCAUGUGCGGAAGGAUAUUCUGCUACCAACACAGCGCUGUUGCGGAAUCGCGGAUAUGUGGAGUUUAUCGAAACUACACCAAAGCAAACCCCUACGCACAAAACAAAUUCACUCAAAUCUGCCGCUGGUACACAUAAACCAGUUGCUACCAAGCGUGAUGAGAAACUUGGUGUAGAUUACAUUGAACAGGGCGCUUAUAUCUUACAAAACGAUGAUCAUGAACAUGAUAUGCUUAAGACGCCUGUGAAUGAAGAGUCACAUUUGGUAGCAUCGCUGGCGGAAAAAUCCCAAGCCACAGGUCCGCCUUCACUCAUGACACAAUCACUGACCGAUUCCAGCACACUUAACGAUCUGGAGGACGACAGUCUCUUCACAGCAACACCAAACUCACAAAUUCAAUUAUCGACCGCCACCACUACUAAGACCACAACGGAGGAGAGUGAAGCGUUAACCGUUGUAACUAGUCCGCUUGACUCAUCUUCACCAAAAGUAGCCGAUGUGCUCAACAGUACUUACAUUGUAGAUAAAGGCGCUGAAUUGACAACUGGCUCAACUCCCAGCAGUUCAGAUAAGAAUCCAAAAACCUCACAGUCAACAUGCACAACAAUGAGCAGUUCAACUGCCUCUUCGAACAAAGCAAUACAUCCACAUAGCGUCUCACAAGAAAAUGCUGCACCUUUAGCGACUGCGCCGAAAGCAGCACCACGUAAACCCUCAAAUGAGUUGUCCUAUGAGGAGUGCGUUCGUGCGUUGCAGCAAAAAAUUACACAAAUCAGUACGGCUCGUGAUUCCGAUGUGCGUAAACAAAGGCGAAAGAGUUCCAAAGGUGAAAUGCCCGCCGGAAAUGCUCAAACUGUGAUAGAAGCAACACCAGCCGAAUCGGAAAACGCGAUUGUCAAUGCAUCUGUAACGGCAACUGCCAGUCCUUCGGGAGCGGCUACACAAAUCCACAAGGUACCUGAAAUUCCGACAUUGACACGCAAGCUAGAGGAGAUCACAAAAGAACGCACCAAGCAGAAGGACCUGAUACAUGACCUAGUCAUGGACAAACUACAAUCAAAGAAACAGUUAAACGCCGAAAAACGUUUGCAUCGCAGUCGCCAACGUACGAUGCUAACAAGCGGUUACGCAAGUGGCUCUAGUCUAAGUCCUACACCGAAAAUCGCGGCGGCUACCACAACUACUGACACCAAUUGCACUAGCCGAGCGCACUAUCAUGAAUCCACAGCAGCGACACCGUCGACGACUAUAGCAAGGGACACAGAAGAACGUUCAAAUUGCUCAAAUUUCAGAGAAAGUAUACCACUACAAAAAUCAUCGACAUAUGUGUCCGCCUAUGGAAUGUCCGGCGGUUCGCCAACCCGCAUUAUUGGUUAUCAUCAACGACCCUUCAGCGAACACUUGACCAGCGAGCAAUUGGAUGCAUUCGAAAGAUACAAAUUGACUAAAACUCCAUCGUUUUCGUACGGCUUACCGAAUCAAUCCAACAAAACAACAUUGAAGAAUGAAAGCGCUUACAACUUUGUGACACCAGUUGCACCUGCACGUCCUAAUCGCAAUCAAAAGCCCUUAAUUUCUACCUUAAGUGCAGAUAGCUCACUUUCCGCGUCGACUGAGAAUUUACGCACCGAAGCACGCGCUCGUGCUCGACUCAAAUCGAACACUGAACUUGGUCUCAGUCCAGAGGACAAAAUGCAAUUAUUGCGCCAACGUUUGCAUCUCGAACACUUGGAAACCAAAAAUAACACUGCUACCGCACUACAUUCACAAGUUCCGCUGAAAUCAACAAACGAUACGGAGCAACAGAGCAUAUGUGAUCGCCGGUUGAGCGCUUCGAAAAGUGUCAACGAUUUAGCUUACUUGACAAGCAAACAAUCGGAAUUAUCUGCCGAUGUCAAUUCGAAUACGAAACCAACCGGCGCCACUGCCGAUUUCACAUCCGAUCCAAAUUUGUUACUCUCUUCCAACUCCAUACAGUCCAGCAUGGGAAGCAUCAAUAACAAAGCAGCAGCCAAAGGCAAGACCAGUCGCAGACAAAAGGAUCCUGAACGUCGUAAGAGUUUGAUACAAUCAUUAUCUAGCUUCUUUCAUAAGGAGAAAAAGGACACCGGUAACGGUGGUGGUGGUAACGGUAGCGCAACUAGCGUAGUUGGCUCUGCACAGUCAGAGCGUCCGGGAACUAGUGGCAACAAUGGCACAACAGCUACGAGCGGCAUUGAUAUGGGCGUUUUUGGCCGCUUCCGCAUAUCGCCCAAAACUAAGGAGAAAUCCAAGAUGAGAGCAACGCAACCGAAACACGUGAGCAGAAGCGGCAGCGUGCCAUAUCGAAGGCUGUUAGACAAGCUGAGCUCAAGCGACUCAGAAUCGCUCAGGAGAUUCAGCGUGAGCAGGAGGAAAUCGAGGUGCAAUUAAAAGAGUUGGAGGCGCGUGGCGUUCUAAUUGAGAAGGCACUACGCGGUGAGAGCGAACAGCAUAACAGCAAUUUUGACACAACAAAUAUUGGCAGUAAUGAUGAAAAACUACUGAAGGAGCUUUUGGAGAUUUGGCGCAAUAUAAAACAACUUAA
This 8939-nucleotide unclassified non-coding RNA is filed under the name Bactrocera tryoni. RNAcentral's name for it is "f-actin-monooxygenase Mical, transcript variant X6". Lineage: Eukaryota; Metazoa; Arthropoda; Insecta; Diptera; Tephritidae. The record is from RNAcentral.